RNAcentral lists this ribosomal RNA (276 nucleotides) under uncultured bacterium. RNAcentral's name for it is "partial 16S ribosomal RNA". It matches the Rfam family "Bacterial small subunit ribosomal RNA", at positions 1225 to 1500 of the family's 1533-position model. The record is from RNAcentral.
CUACAAUGGCGUAAACAAAGGGAAGCGAGCCUGCGAGGGUAAGCGAAUCCCAAAAAUAACGCCCCAGUUCGGAUUGCAGUCUGCAACUCGAGUGCAUGAAGCUGGAAUCGCUAGUAAUCGCGGAUCAGAAUGCCGCGGUGAAUACGUUCCCGGGUCUUGUACACACCGCCCGUCACACCAUGAGAGUCGGGAACACCCGAAGUCCGUAGUCUAACCGCAAGGGGGGCGCGGCCGAAGGUGGGUCCGGUAAUUGGGGUGAAGUCGUAACAAGGUAAC